Molecule: long non-coding RNA, 226 nt
Filed under: Mytilus galloprovincialis (Mediterranean mussel)
Lineage: Eukaryota; Metazoa; Mollusca; Bivalvia; Mytilida; Mytilidae
Source: RNAcentral
AGACAACUCUCCAUGAAGUGUUAGACACAGUGUAGUCAAAGUUAGCAGUUACAUGUAUACUAUACAUGUAACUGCUAACUUCAAACCAGAAACAAAAAGCAAAUAUGAACUGCACCAAAAAAAGACAACCACCAAACAACAUGCUUCUUACUUGGAACAUUCAGAAAAUAUCUUCAAAGCGAGUUAAAAUUUUUAAUAAGUUUUUGUUUUUAACAAAAGCGUUUUG